This 525-nucleotide ribosomal RNA is filed under the name uncultured bacterium. RNAcentral's name for it is "partial 16S ribosomal RNA". It matches the Rfam family "Bacterial small subunit ribosomal RNA", at positions 355 to 864 of the family's 1533-position model. The record is from RNAcentral.
UGGGGAAUUUUGGACAAUUGGGCGAAAGCCUGAUCCAGCAAUGCCGCGUGUGUGAAGAAGGCCUUCGGGUUGUAAAGCACUUUUGUCCGGAAAGAAAUCCUUGGCUCUAAUACAGUCGGGGGAUGACGGUACCGGAAGAAUAAGCACCGGCUAACUACGUGCCAGCAGCCGCGGUAAUACGUAGGGUGCAAGCGUUAAUCGGAAUUACUGGGCGUAAAGCGUGCGCAGGCGGUUUGCUAAGACCGAUGUGAAAUCCCCGGGCUCAACCUGGGAACUGCAUUGGUGACUGGCAGGCUAGAGUAUGGCAGAGGGGGGUAGAAUUCCACGUGUAGCAGUGAAAUGCGUAGAGAUGUGGAGGAAUACCGAUGGCGAAGGCAGCCCCCUGGGCCAAGUACUGACGCUCAUGCACGAAAGCGUGGGGAGCAAACNGGAUUUAGAUACCCCUGGUAGUCCACGCCCCUAAAANGAUGUCAACUAGUUGUUUGGGGGAUUCAUUUUCCUUAGUAACGUAGCUAACGCGUGAAG